AGCGAACGCUGGCGGCAGGCUUAACACAUGCAAGUCGAGCGGGCGUAGCAAUACGUCAGCGGCAGACGGGUGAGUAACACGUGGGAACGUACCUUUUGGUUCGGAACAACACAGGGAAACUUGUGCUAAUACCGAAUAAGCCCUUACGGGGAAAGAUUUAUCGCCGAAAGAUCGGCCCGCGUCCGAUUAGCUAGUUGGUGGGGUAACGGCCUACCAAGGCACCGAUCGGUAUCCGGCCUGAGAGGGCGGACGGACACACUGGGACUGAGACACGGCCCAGACUCCUACGGGAGGCAGCAGUGGGGAAUUGUUCGCAAUGGACGCAAGUCUGACGACGCAACGCCGCGUGGAGGAUGAAGACCCUU
Molecule: ribosomal RNA, 365 nt
Filed under: uncultured bacterium
Lineage: Bacteria
Description: bacterial SSU rRNA
Rfam family: Bacterial small subunit ribosomal RNA
Source: RNAcentral